UGGGGAAUAUUGGACAAUGGGCGAAAGCCUGAUCCAGCCAUGCCGCGUGUGUGAAGAAGGUCUUCGGAUUGUAAAGCACUUUAAGUUGGGAGGAAGGGUUGUAAAUUAAUACUCUGCUGUUUUGACGUUACCGACAGAAUAAGCACCGGCUAACUCUGUG
RNAcentral lists this ribosomal RNA (160 nucleotides) under uncultured bacterium. RNAcentral describes it as "partial 16S ribosomal RNA". It matches the Rfam family "Bacterial small subunit ribosomal RNA", at positions 355 to 507 of the family's 1533-position model. The record is from RNAcentral.